GUGACAAUAGCUACAAGGAUACACCCGUUCCCAUGCCGAACACGGAAGUUAAGCUUGUAAACGCCGAAAGUACUUGAUUGGAAGCGAUCUGGGAGGAUAGGAAGUUGC
RNAcentral lists this ribosomal RNA (108 nucleotides) under uncultured Dialister sp. Lineage: Bacteria; Bacillati; Bacillota; Negativicutes; Veillonellales; Veillonellaceae. The record is from RNAcentral.